RNAcentral lists this ribosomal RNA (499 nucleotides) under Starmerella bacillaris. RNAcentral's name for it is "partial large subunit ribosomal RNA". It matches the Rfam family "Eukaryotic large subunit ribosomal RNA", at positions 67 to 669 of the family's 3401-position model. Lineage: Eukaryota; Fungi; Ascomycota; Dipodascomycetes; Dipodascales; Trichomonascaceae. The record is from RNAcentral.
GAAAGGAGGUGCGGUAGCUACGGCGAGUGAACAGGCAAGAGCUCAGAUUUGAAAGGCACUUUUGUGCCGUUGUAUUCUGAAGUUAGGGUCCUGAGAAACGAUGCUUAAGUCUUCUGGAAAGGAGCGCCAUGGAGGGUGAUAGCCCCGUCUAGCAUUGACCUCAUAUAGGAUCUUAACAUGGAGUCGAGUUGUUUGGGAAUGCAGCUCAAAUGGGUGGUAUGCUCCAUCUAAAGCUAAAUAUCUGCGAGAGACCGAUAGUAAACAAGUACUGUGAGGGAAAGAUGAAAAGAACUUUGAAAAGAGAGUGAAAAAGUACGUGAAAUUGUUGAAAUGGAAGGGUAGGCCGCUAACCAUGUAGAGCCGUGUUUGGGGGGAAGAUAAAUGCUGUAGAAUGUAGCUCCUCGGAGUAUUAUAGAUGCAGUUCAUAUUCCCACCCGAGCGCGAGGAUCUCAGGUUCUACUAAAUGGUGGUCUACCACCCGUCUUGAACCACGGACCCA